UGAUUAACCGGCCCGAACUACCAUUAACCGAAUUAACUGACCAUUUUAAACCCUUAAUCGUUAACCGAACUGAAAUUUUUUCAAAAAGAAAUUAACUGAACUGAACUUUUUUAGUUAAUUCGGUCGGUUAACCGAAUUAACCGAAAUUUAUAUAUUUUUUUAUUUUUGGUUAAAACAAGUAUAAAACAUAUUUCCAAAAAAUUAACCGAACCGAC
RNAcentral lists this long non-coding RNA (215 nucleotides) under Gossypium barbadense (sea-island cotton). RNAcentral's name for it is "long non-coding RNA (GBAR_LNC010906)". The record is from RNAcentral. Lineage: Eukaryota; Viridiplantae; Streptophyta; Magnoliopsida; Malvales; Malvaceae.